AUUUGAUGAUAUCAGCAAUAUCGU
RNAcentral lists this small nuclear RNA (24 nucleotides) under Arabidopsis thaliana (thale cress). Its description in RNAcentral is "snRNA_19078". Lineage: Eukaryota; Viridiplantae; Streptophyta; Magnoliopsida; Brassicales; Brassicaceae. The record is from RNAcentral.